This 283-nucleotide ribosomal RNA is filed under the name uncultured bacterium. RNAcentral's name for it is "partial 16S ribosomal RNA". It matches the Rfam family "Bacterial small subunit ribosomal RNA", at positions 510 to 793 of the family's 1533-position model. The record is from RNAcentral.
AGCAGCCGCGGUAAUACGGAGGGUGCGAGCGUUAAUCGGAAUUACUGGGCGUAAAGCGCAUGCAGGUGGUUUGUUAAGUCAGAUGUGAAAGCCCGGGGCUCAACCUCGGAAUUGCAUUUGAAACUGGCAAACUAGAGUACUGUAGAGGGGGUAGAAUUUCAGGUGUAGCGGUGAAAUGCGUAGAGAUCUGAAGGAAUACCGGUGGCGAAGGCGGCCCCCUGGACAGAUACUGACACUCAGAUGCGAAAGCGUGGGGAGCAAACAGGAUUAGAUACCCUGGUAG